AGCAUUGUUAAGGAACUCGGCAAAAUGACCCCGUAACUUCGGGAGAAGGGGUGCCACAGGAAUGUGGCCGCAGAGAAUAGGCUCAAGCAACUGUUUAGCAAAAACACAGGUCUAUGCGAAACCGAAAGGUGAGGUAUAUGGGCUGACGCCUGCCCGGUGCUGGAAGGUUAAGAGGAGAUGUCAGGAAACGAAGCAUUGAAUUUAAGCCCCAGUAAACGGCGGCCGUAACUAUAACGGUCCUAAGGUAGCGAAAUUCCUUGUCGGGUAAGUUCCGACCCGCACGAAAGGCGUAAUGAUUUGAGCGCUGUCUCGACAAUGCAUCCGGUGAAAUUGAAGUACCAGUGAAGAUGCUGGUUACCUGCGCCAGGACGGAAAGACCCCAUGGAGCUUUACUCCAGUUUGGUACUGGGAUUCGGUAUUGCAUGUACAGGAUAGGUGGGAGGCGAAGAGGAAGAGACGCCAGUCUCUUCGGAGCCGCUGUUGGGAUACCACCCUUGCAGUAUUGGGUUUCUAACCAGCCGCCGUGACCCGGCGGUGGGACAAUGCCAGGCGGGGAGUUUGACUGGGGCGGUCGCCUCCGAAAGGGUAUCGGAGGCGCCCAAAGGUUCCCUCAGAAUGGACGGAAACCAUUCGAAGAGUGCAAAGGCAGAAGGGAGCUUGACUGCGACACCGACGGGUGGAGCAGGUACGAAAGUAGGACUUAGUGAUCCGGUGGUAUGAAAGUGGGAUUGCCAUCGCUCAACGGAUAAAAGCUACCCUGGGGAUAACAGGCUUAUCACUCCCAAGAGUUCACAUCGACGGAGUGGUUUGGCACCUCGAUGUCGGCUCAUCGCAUCCUGGGGCUGUAGUAGGUCCCAAGGGUUGGGCUGUUCGCCCAUUAAAGCGGUACGCGAGCUGGGUUCAGAACGUCGUGAGACAGUUCGGUCCCUAUCCGGCGUGGGCGUAGGAUAUCUGAGAGGAGCUGUCCUUAGUACGAGAGGACCGGGAUGGACGGGCCGCUGGUGUACCUGUUGCAGUGCCAACUGCAUGGCAGGGUAGCCAAGCCCGGAAGGGAUAAACGCUGAAGGCAUCUAAGCGUGAAGCCCCCCUCAAGAUGAGAUAUCCCAUUCUAAAAAGAAGUAAGACCCCUUGAAGACGACGAGGUAGAUAGGACAGAGGUGGAAGUACAGCAAUGUAUGGAGCUGACUGUUACUAAUCGGUCGAGGGCUUGACCUG
RNAcentral lists this ribosomal RNA (1215 nucleotides) under pig gut metagenome. Its description in RNAcentral is "bacterial LSU rRNA". It matches the Rfam family "Bacterial large subunit ribosomal RNA", at positions 1698 to 2925 of the family's 2925-position model. The record is from RNAcentral.